Molecule: ribosomal RNA, 253 nt
Filed under: uncultured bacterium
Lineage: Bacteria
Description: partial 16S ribosomal RNA
Rfam family: Bacterial small subunit ribosomal RNA
Source: RNAcentral
AACGUAGGUGACAAGCGUUAUCCGGAUUUACUGGGCCUAAAGCAUCCGUAGCCGGUUCUACAAGUCUUCCGUUAAAUCCACCUGCUUAACAGAUGGGCUGCGGAGGAUACUAUAGAGCUAGGAGGCGGGAGAGGCAAGCGGUACUUAGUGGGUAGGGGUAAAAUCCGUUGAUCCAUUGAAGACCACCAGUGGCGGAGGCGGCUUGCCAGAACGCACUCGACGGUGAGGGAUGAAAGCUGGGGGAGCAAACCGG